GUCCAGACUCCUACGGGAGGCAGCAGUGAGGAAUAUUGGUCAAUGGCCGCAGGGCUGAACCAGCCAAGUCGCGUGAGGGAUGACGGCCCUAUGGGUUGUAAACCUCUUUUGCCGGGGAGCAAAGUGCCGCACGUGUGCGGUUUGGAGAGUACCCGGAGAAAAAGCAUCGGCUAACUCCGUGCCAGCAGCCGCGGUAAUACGGAGGAUCCGAGCGUUAUCCGGAUUUAUUGGGUUUAAAGGGAGCGUAGAUGGGUUGUUAAGUCAGUUGUGAAAGUUUGCGGCUCAACCGUAAAAUUGCAAUUGAUACUGGCAGUCUUGAGUACAGUUGAGGUAAGCGGAAUUCGUGGUGUAGCGGUGAAAUGCUUAGAUAUCACGAAGAACCCCGAUUGCGAAGGCAGCUUACUAAACUGUGACUGACAUUGAUGCUCGAAAGUGUGGGUAUCAAACAGGAUUAGAUACCCUCGUA
RNAcentral lists this ribosomal RNA (466 nucleotides) under uncultured bacterium. Its description in RNAcentral is "bacterial SSU rRNA". It matches the Rfam family "Bacterial small subunit ribosomal RNA", at positions 329 to 792 of the family's 1533-position model. The record is from RNAcentral.